AGUGUUCCUGCUUUUUCUCUUUUGUUUUCCUUUCUCACCCUUCCUUAUUUUGUUCCAUAUUUUUCCUUCCUACUUUCUCCUUUUCUUCAUUUCCUUUCUUCCUUCGUUUUUCCCUCCCUUUUGUUAGCAAGUCCAAGUGCUUGUCUGUGGCCCUUUACUUACUGCGUGCUCUAUGAGGAGAAUGAGCUUCAAAGGUAUCAUCACAAUUAAGAAGUGCAGUAUUAAAAUGGGUAUCAUUCUGUCAAUCCAA
Molecule: long non-coding RNA, 250 nt
Filed under: Homo sapiens (human)
Lineage: Eukaryota; Metazoa; Chordata; Mammalia; Primates; Hominidae
Description: non-protein coding lnc-SPCS3-5:1
Source: RNAcentral